This 484-nucleotide ribosomal RNA is filed under the name uncultured bacterium. RNAcentral's name for it is "partial 16S ribosomal RNA". It matches the Rfam family "Bacterial small subunit ribosomal RNA", at positions 29 to 507 of the family's 1533-position model. The record is from RNAcentral.
AUUGAACGCUGGCGGCAUGCUUUACACAUGCAAGUCGAACGGCAGCGCGGGCUUCGGCCUGGCGGCGAGUGGCGAACGGGUGAGUAAUGCAUCGGAACGUGCCCAGUAGUGGGGGAUAGCCCGUCGAAAGCCGGAUUAAUACCGCAUACGACCUGAUGGUGCAAGCGGGGGACCGAAAGGCCUCGCGCUAUUGGAGCGGCCGAUGUCGGAUUAGCUAGUUGGUGGGGUAAAGGCUUACCAAGGCGACGAUCCGUAGCUGGUCUGAGAGGACGACAAGCCACACUGGGACUGAGACACGGCCCAGACUCCUACGGGAGGCAGCAGUGGGGAAUUUUGGACAAUGGGGGCAAACCUGAUCCAGCCAUGCCGCGUGCGGGAAGAAGGCCUUCGGGUUGUAAACCGCUUUUGUUCGGGAAGAAAUCCUCUGGGCUAAUACCCCGGGGGGAUGACGGUACCGGAAGAAUAAGCACCGGCUAACUACGUG